UGAAAUGGAGUUAACAAACAUUUUAUUUAUUUUAAAACAUUUUGUUUUAUUUUUAGACUAUUUUAUCAAACAAUAGCUGAGUGCGCUUUCUUUUCAGCUGCUGUUUGAAACUUCUCAAAAAAUGACCAUAUUUUAGACCACAAAACAACUCUUAGCAAAAAAAUCAAUAUAACGGUUUCAUUUUAUCAGAUCAUAAUGCAAUGAAAUUAGACCCCCCGACAAAAAAACCUACAGAAAGUAUAUGAACAUAUGGAUAUUAAAUGGUACACUUUUAAAUGAUGGAUAAUAGAAGAAAUCAAAGGGCAAAUUUAAAAUUAUUAGAAUCAAAUAAAAAUAGUGAUACAGCAUACUGGAACCUCUGGGAAACUAUGAAGACACUUUUCUAAGAGGAAGGUUUAUAGCUAUGAAUGGAUACAUAAGAAAAUCAGAAAGAUCCCAAUAAUGCAUUCCAAAGCUCUUGAAAAACAAUAACAAACCAAUUACAAAACCAACAGAAGAAAAGAAAUAAUUAACAUUGAAGCUGAAAUAAACAAAAUUGAGAAUAAAAAUGCAACACAAAGGAUCAAUGAAACAAAAAGUUGGUUCUUUGAAAAGAUUAAACCAGAUUGAUAAUCCCUUAGUCAAACCAACCAAAAGAAAAAUAAAGAAAACCCAAAUUAAUGAAAUUAAAGAUUUAAAAAAGAGAAAUCAUCAAAGGCAUCACAGAAAUCCAGAGGAUCAUUAGGGACUAUUUUGAAAAUUUAUACUGCAAUAAGUUGGAAGCGUAGAAGAAAUAGAUAUAUUUCUAGAUGCAUAUAACAUGCAAAAAAUGAAUCAAGAGUACAUAAAAAAAUCUUAAACAGAGCGAUAACUAUCAAGGAGAUAGAAGCAAUAAUAAAAUGACUUCCAAAAAAGAAAAACUCAGGACCAAAUGAAGUCUCAACUGAAUUCUACCAGAACAUUUAAAAAAAGAACUAAUGCCAGUGCUCCUCAAAUUAUUACAUGAAAUAGAGAGGGAUGGAACACUUCCAAAUUCAUUCUAUGAAGCCAGUAUCACACUCAUACCAAAACCAGAUAAGGACACCCUAAGUAAAGAAUACUAGUGAUCAAUAUCCCUGAUGAACUUGGAUGUAAAAAUGAUUAACAAAAUAUUAGAAAAUAAUAUUCAACAACAUUGUAAGAAGAUGACACAUCAUGACCAAAUUAGUUUUAUCCCAG
This 1197-nucleotide long non-coding RNA is filed under the name Marmota monax (woodchuck). Lineage: Eukaryota; Metazoa; Chordata; Mammalia; Rodentia; Sciuridae. The record is from RNAcentral.